GUCAGCCGCGAACGAGGACGCCGC
This 24-nucleotide non-coding RNA is filed under the name Cricetulus griseus (Chinese hamster). Lineage: Eukaryota; Metazoa; Chordata; Mammalia; Rodentia; Cricetidae. The record is from RNAcentral.